CGCAUCUUGCGCUCUUUGGUAUUCCGAAGAGCAUGCCUGUUUGAGUGUCAUGAAAUCUCAAUCUCUAAGGUUUCUUAUUGAUUGGACUUGGGCGUUUGCCAGCGAUGGCUCGCCUUAAAAGUGUUAGCUGAUACGAGACGAAUCAUUGGCGUAAUAAGUUUCGCUAGUGUGCUGUCAACCGGUCGCUUCUAAUCGUCGCAAGACAAUCUCUUUGACUUUGACCUCAAAUCAGGUAGGACUACCCGCUGAACUUAA
RNAcentral lists this unclassified non-coding RNA (255 nucleotides) under Cryptococcus sp. (in: basidiomycete fungi). RNAcentral's name for it is "Cryptococcus sp. (in: Fungi) partial contains 5.8S ribosomal RNA, internal transcribed spacer 2, and large subunit ribosomal RNA". Lineage: Eukaryota; Fungi; Basidiomycota; Tremellomycetes; Tremellales; Cryptococcaceae. The record is from RNAcentral.